This 200-nucleotide ribosomal RNA is filed under the name uncultured bacterium. Its description in RNAcentral is "partial 16S ribosomal RNA". It matches the Rfam family "Bacterial small subunit ribosomal RNA", at positions 8 to 210 of the family's 1533-position model. The record is from RNAcentral.
AGAGUUUGAUCCUGGCUCAGGACGAACGCUGGCGGCGUGCUUAACACAUGCAAGUCGAGCGGAAAGGCCCUUCGGGGUACUCGAGCGGCGAACGGGUGAGUAACACGUGAGCAAUCUGCCCCUAGCUUCGGGAUAGCUCCGGGAAACCGGAAUUAAUACCGAAUACGACCACGGUUGACAUCGGCUGUGGUGGAAAGCUU